CAUGUCUAUAACUCACUGGGAAACUCCAUAGCGGUGUCCGCAUCUCCCCCUCACAGGGUCCUCGCGUUUUGCCCUUUAGGUCCGUCUAUUGGCCUUUAAUUGGAAACGAAGCUCUUUUGUGGAUCUCUUUAUCCGACAUUAACAAGAGUGUCUGGAGGAACUAGAGAUACAGUCAGCCAGACUUUGCUUAGGCAGCAGCCAUGAAGAGCGCGGUCGUGGUAAACAGAGAAGGAAGAGGAGCAGUACUAAUUGUAGUACUUGUGUUACACCUGCUGUCUUGGUCAAAGAGGAAAUGGACCUCUGGAGUGGUGUCACAGUGGACAUGAUGUCUGAUGAAGAGGAGCUGAUGGAUUGUGACACCGCCAUCAUUUAGAAGCAAGGAGCUCUCCGACCCGUGUGCCAUUCUUCAAUAGGGGCAGAAAGAACCCAAAAUAUGUAGCAACACAUGACAAAAGGCUCUGAUGAUGGGUGACCAUUGGACAGAACAGCACCGUCUGCAUAAUGACCCUGAAGCUGCUGAGAGACAUUUUCAAAAUAAUCUGUAUUCAAACUGGCAGGCAGCACCACAUAGUGUCUGCAAGCUGACCAAACUCUUCUUUAGUUUUACCAGGACGGUAGCUUGGUAGGUUGGGCACAGUGGGUGACCCUGAUCCAAGCAACCCACUGGUUGUUCUCUUAUUUUAUCUAUUCUUUUUAAUAAAGCUUUUAUA
This is a long non-coding RNA of Labrus mixtus (cuckoo wrasse), 710 nucleotides long. RefSeq lists it as uncharacterized. The transcript is spliced from 3 exons. The record is from RefSeq and is a predicted model, not a curated record. Lineage: Eukaryota; Metazoa; Chordata; Actinopteri; Labriformes; Labridae.